This 584-nucleotide ribosomal RNA is filed under the name Filobasidium uniguttulatum. RNAcentral describes it as "eukaryotic LSU rRNA". It matches the Rfam family "Eukaryotic large subunit ribosomal RNA", at positions 81 to 655 of the family's 3401-position model. The record is from RNAcentral. Lineage: Eukaryota; Fungi; Basidiomycota; Tremellomycetes; Filobasidiales; Filobasidiaceae.
UAGUACGGCGAGCGAGCGGGAAGAGCUCAAAUUUGAAAUCUGGUGGCCUCAGGUCAUCCGAGUUGUAAUCUAUAGAAGUGUUUUCCGUGCUGGCCCAUGUACAAGUCCCUUGGAACAGGGCGUCAUAGAGGGUGAGAAUCCCGUCCUUGACAUGGACUACCAGUGCUCUGUGAUACACUUUCAACGAGUCGAGUUGUUUGGGAAUGCAGCUCAAAAUGGGUGGUAAAUUCCAUCUAAAGCUAAAUAUUGGCGAGAGACCGAUAGCGAACAAGUACCGUGAGGGAAAGAUGAAAAGCACUUUGGAAAGAGAGUUAAACAGUAUGUGAAAUUGUUGAAAGGGAAACGAUUGAAGUCAGUCGUGCUCAAUGGACUCAGCCGUUCUGCGGUGUAUUUCCAUUGGGUGGGGUCAACAUCAGUUUUGAUCGCUGGAUAAAGGCAGGAGGAAUGUAGCACCCCCGGGUGAACUUAUAGCCUCUUGUCACAUACAGUGGUUGGGACUGAGGAACGCAGCAUGCCUUUAUGGCCGGGAUUCGUCCACGUACAUGCUUAGGAUGUUGACAUAAUGGCUUUAAACGACCCGUCUU